CAUUUAUUUUGGCUUACGUCUGAGUCCACACUCAGCUGACUCCCAGUCAGGAAGUCAUGAUGGAGGGGUCUGGGGUGGGGGGAGCAGAGGGAAGGGAGGAGCUGGGGAGGGAGAUUUACCUUUCUAGCUCAUGCCCCACUGACUGCCUGUUCCUCCAGACCCCACCUCGUAACAGCACCCACUGAGGAGCACGGCACCCGCACGAUCCAGCCACCUUCCUAAAGCCUUGCCUCUUCUGCCCCACUGCCCACCUCAGAUAAACUUGCCAGUCCCACCGCUGAGGGAAACACGGACAGCACUGUAGUUCCCCGAGGCACAGAGUCUGAGUCCAGUGUACAACAGGCACUCUCGUCAACCAGCUGCCUCCUCUUCCAUAAGCAGGACUGCCAGCUCCCCAGUGGAGGACAGAGUAAUCCCCGCAGCCCCACAGCCUGCCUCAACUCGGAUAAUUACACAGUUUACCCUGUCAUUAUGACACUCCACUUGAGGUAGUGAUUUCUAAAUCUGAUAAUAGCCUUUUAGUUCCUAAUGACUAGAAAGACCGCC
This 546-nucleotide long non-coding RNA is filed under the name Fukomys damarensis (Damara mole-rat). RNAcentral describes it as "lncRNA (ENSFDAG00000028922.1)". Lineage: Eukaryota; Metazoa; Chordata; Mammalia; Rodentia; Bathyergidae. The record is from RNAcentral.